UACGAAGGGGGCUAGCGUUGUUCGGACUCACGGGGCGUAAAGCGCACGUCGGCGGACUUGUUAGUCAGGGGUGAAAUCCCAGGGCUCAACCCUGGAACUACCUUUGAUGCUGCAAGUCUCGAGUCCGGAAGAGGUGAGUGGAACUCCUAGUGUAGAGGUGAAAUUCGUAGAUAUUAGGAAGAACACCAGUGGCGAAGGCGGCUCACUGGUCCGGAUCUGACGCUGAGGUGCGAAAGCGUGGGGAGCAAACAGG
This 253-nucleotide ribosomal RNA is filed under the name uncultured bacterium. Its description in RNAcentral is "partial 16S ribosomal RNA". It matches the Rfam family "Bacterial small subunit ribosomal RNA", at positions 524 to 776 of the family's 1533-position model. The record is from RNAcentral.